UCUAAGCCAUGCGAGUCGAGAGGUGCAAGACCUCGGCGUACUGCUCAGUAACACGUGGACAAUCUGCCCUGGAGUGGAGGAUAAUCCCGGGAAACUGGGGGUAAUACUCCAUAGUUCGUUAUGACUGGAAUGUUUUUCGAACGAAAGAUCCGUCGCUCCAGGAUGAGUCUGCGGCCGAUUAGGUAGUUGUUGGGGUAAAGGCCCAACAAGCCUGUAAUCGGUACGGGUUGUGGGAGCAAGAGCCCGGAGAUGGAUUCUGAGACACGAAUCCAGGCCCUACGGGGCGCAGCAGGCGCGAAAACUUUACAAUGCGGGAAACCGUGAUAAGGAAACCCCGAGUGCCAGCACAGGCUGGCUGUCCGCCAGUGUAAAUAACUGGUGAAGAAAGGGCCGGGCAAGACCGGUGCCAGCCGCCGCGGUAAUACCGGCGGCUCGAGUGGUGGCCACUAUUACUGGGCUUAAAGGGUCCGUAGCUUGAUAUGCAAGUCUCUUGAGAAAUCCGCCGGCUUAACUGGCGGGCGUUCAGGGGAAACUGCAUUUCUAGGGACCGGGAGAGGUGAGAGGUACUGCCGGGGUAGGAGUGAAAUCCUGUAAUCCCGGUGGGACCACCUAUGGCGAAGGCAUCUCACCAGAACGGGUCCGACAGUGAGGGACGAAAGCUGGGGGAGCAAACCGGAUUAGAUACCCGGGUAGUCCCAGCUGUAAACGAUGCGCGUUAGGUGUGUCAGUGACCACGUGUCACUGAGGUGCCGAAGGGAAACCGUGAAACGCGCCGCCUGGGGAGUACGGUCGCAAGGCUGAAACUUAAAGGRAUUGGCGGGGGAGCACCACAACGGGUGGAGCCUGCGGUUUAAUCGGACUCAACGCCGGAAAUCUCACCGGAUAAGACAGCUGAAUGAUAGUCGGGAUGAAGACUCUACUUGGCUAGCUGAGAGGAGGUGCAUGGCC
This 948-nucleotide ribosomal RNA is filed under the name uncultured archaeon. RNAcentral describes it as "bacterial SSU rRNA". It matches the Rfam family "Archaeal small subunit ribosomal RNA", at positions 43 to 999 of the family's 1478-position model. The record is from RNAcentral.